UCUGAAACGUCGGCCGUCUCGGUACGGCAGC
RNAcentral lists this non-coding RNA (31 nucleotides) under Bombyx mori (domestic silkworm). Lineage: Eukaryota; Metazoa; Arthropoda; Insecta; Lepidoptera; Bombycidae. The record is from RNAcentral.